This 227-nucleotide unclassified non-coding RNA is filed under the name Bartonella quintana. RNAcentral describes it as "partial 16S-23S ribosomal RNA intergenic spacer". The record is from RNAcentral. Lineage: Bacteria; Pseudomonadati; Pseudomonadota; Alphaproteobacteria; Hyphomicrobiales; Bartonellaceae.
GUUCAAGUCCUCCCAGGCCCACCAAUUUUACAUCACUUUUAAGUGCUUAUAAAAAUUGUAAGCAGUUAUGAAAGCUUGCUGAUAGAAAUUUUAUGGCGCUUAUCCAUUUGGUUUAAACGAUAUGUGACUUAAGCCAUCUAAAAUUAAAGCAGUUCAAAUGCAUAGAAGUUUGAAUUUUAGACAAUGGAAGUAAAUUUGGAUAAUGUGAAUUUUGAGCAGUAUAAAUU